This 45-nucleotide non-coding RNA is filed under the name Schistosoma curassoni. Lineage: Eukaryota; Metazoa; Platyhelminthes; Trematoda; Strigeidida; Schistosomatidae. The record is from RNAcentral.
AUCUAGCUGACGAGUCCCAAAUCGGACGAAAUAUGAGCCCUAGAU